AUUGGCGUUAGACAAAAACGUUAUAAUUUUCUUGAACUAUACUUGUUUAUAUCUUUUUUUAAGUUAAACAUGAAACUUAAGAUUUUUUGCAUUAUUCAGUUUAAAUUUACCUUUUCGAACCAUUUAUAGAAAGUACUAUUUACUACUUUAUAUACUAUUUAUAUGGCUUCAUUUAUUUAUUUUACUUUUCAGAGUUUCAGAGAAAAGUUAUGGUCAAACUUGCUGAAAUUAACAUUAUAAAUUAACAUUAACUGAAUAAACAUUUUAGUAAAUAAAACUGCACAGUUCUCUAAUGAUCCAGAAGGUUAUAAACAACUUAAAAGUUCAGAUGAACUUAAUGUUUUGAAAAGAAAAAUUGCAAAUGGAGAUAUCCAAUACAUCACUUAUGUGUGCAUGAAUUAUAUCUUUAUAGUUUAUAUAUUAUUACAAUAUUUCUUUUGAAUUGUCAUGAACAUUUUCAAUGUUUCUUUUGCAUUAUUUCUUUUUAGUUAAAACAGUUAUCAUUAAUUGGAGACUGACAACAGAUACUAUUUUCAGAAUGCAGCAUGAAUGGUCUAAAGAAGAAAAAAAAGUUUAAAAAGUUGACAAGUCUAUGUAUUGCUAUCACUGAUGCUGCUUCAAAGUCAAAUAAAAGCUUAACCAAAAUAGAGCUUAUUGGGAGAAUAAUUAGGCAUUCUUCUGACCGAUUCGAGAGAAAAUCCACCAAUAUCCAUAUUGAUCAAUGAUGGCUUAAUUAACUUCAAUCAACUGUUGUGUUUUUUGUUUAUUUUGCAUUUUUCAGUAAUUUUCUUUUUACUUAUAAUAUACUAUCGAUUAUACUCUACAAAAAAUAUUAGUUUUUAAUUUGGAAAGUGUAACUUUGUUUGAAUAAUUUUU
Long non-coding RNA from Hydra vulgaris (swiftwater hydra), 876 nucleotides. RefSeq lists it as uncharacterized. The record is from RefSeq and is a predicted model, not a curated record. NCBI's taxonomy places the organism in Eukaryota, Metazoa, Cnidaria, Hydrozoa, Anthoathecata, Hydridae.